GCCGGGUGUGGUGGUGCACGCCUGUAAUCCCAGCUACUCAGGAGGCUGAGGCAGGAGAAUCGCUUGAACCCAGGAGGCAGAGGUUGCAGUGAGCCAAGAUUGCACCACUGCAUUCCAGCCUGGGCGACAGAGCAAGACUUUGUCUCAA
RNAcentral lists this non-coding RNA (148 nucleotides) under Nomascus leucogenys (northern white-cheeked gibbon). Lineage: Eukaryota; Metazoa; Chordata; Mammalia; Primates; Hylobatidae. The record is from Rfam by way of RNAcentral.